Long non-coding RNA from Gossypium arboreum, 504 nucleotides. RefSeq lists it as uncharacterized. NCBI's taxonomy places the organism in Eukaryota, Viridiplantae, Streptophyta, Magnoliopsida, Malvales, Malvaceae. The transcript is spliced from 2 exons. The record is from RefSeq and is a predicted model, not a curated record.
AAGCUCAAGGAGUUAAAGAAGGAGAAUCAAGCAAGGGAAAGGCGAAGGUCAUCGAGUAGCCGACUUGGACUAUUUUUACCCAACACAAGGUUCCUUGGGCUCGUCUCCUUUUGGGUGUUCGUAACCGUCAACGAAGUCAUCACACCGGCGAGCAAUCUUUGGUAUUGUCUUCUUAGUCGACUUAGGAGAACAUUUGGCAUGUAUGAGCUAUUUUGUUUUGUUAAAUUUUGGGUUGUAAACUUUAAGCCAUGUGAAAAUGGCCUAUGUGGUCGUUUGAGUGGGAUGCUAGAAUCUAUAGCCACGAGUCUUAGAAAUCUUAAUUUUGAUAAGGUGGCCAUAAUUUGUGUCACGUAUGAUGGAUGAGUAGUAAGACUAAGGAAGGAUUCAUGAAAUUGGCAUAGUCUACUGCAGUAACUGUUGCGGACAGCAGCAGUGAUAUGAGAUCGAAAAAUCACUAAAAAUAGUAGAAGUGGAAUUAAUAGCUAAAAAAAUUACGUACUCGAA